Long non-coding RNA from Raphanus sativus (radish), 1013 nucleotides. RefSeq lists it as uncharacterized. Lineage: Eukaryota; Viridiplantae; Streptophyta; Magnoliopsida; Brassicales; Brassicaceae. The transcript has 3 exons. The record is from RefSeq and is a predicted model, not a curated record.
AAACUCCGUUUUAGAUAAGGGCAACAUUGUUCUUCUUCUCGAAGAUUCAUCCUCUCUGGAUCUUCACCCUUAAAGAAUUUUCGAGCUUUCCGUCUCCCUUCCCGUGUAAAGUAAACUGGCAAUUCACCUCCAACCCUAUAAAUUAGAGAGCGAUAAGAGGAGGAAGGAUCUUCUCACAGGCAAUCUUCAAUCUAAAAAACCCUUCGUAAGUGUCUGUGUCCUGCUGUCGUUUCCCAAAUAACCAGUCCGCGAUUCCACUGUUGAAAAGUAGAUCUUUCUAAUUCAUUGUUGCUCGGCUCCUCCACUUUUGGGAUUCUGGAAACAUCAACAAGAAUGGUAAAUCCAUUGGAAUCACUCUACAUUCUUUGAUGAGAAGGUAGUGUCCUCGAGAACUUCAAUUGCAGAUCCGAGUCUCCGAUGAAUGGUCUGAGGAAGACGAAGCUCAAAUCAGUUAAUUGUACGACAUAGCCCAAUAACAGAAACAAACCGGGUAAUCAUAUCGCUGAUAUGUCAAAUUGAACUUCUUCUACGUCUGUUAAAAGGAGAGUUUGAGGAAUUGUUUGGUGCAGUGCAACGACCAGAAGCCUGGCCCUCUUUCCUAUUCCAUGAAACAAAGCUGAAAAGAGAAUUGAUGGGAGUGCAGGAGUUUAUGUUGAAAGCAGUGACCAAAAAGCACAUGGGCAUUUUUCAUUGCUCAAAGAGUGAAUUUGUUCGUCGCCCUCCUGCUUAUUUGAGUUCUUUGUUAAUGAAAUUUUGUAACCUGCAAUUUUUGGGUUGAUGGGUGAUAGGGUCUUGGCUUCAAGGCUAGCUGGGGGUGUUUUGUGGUUGUCUCUGUUUCUGAACUUGCAGCAGAGUCUCUGUAUUGAUGUAAUUGCUUGGUGGCAAUUUAUGAAAUUGAAAGAAUCUUUGACAAAAAAAGGCCUUAUCAAGUCAAGCAAGGAACUGGACUCUAUAAUGAAAUGCAUUAUAUGUGUAAUAUUCUGAGAAAGAACAUGAUGUACCAAGUACAGAGA